AAUGAACGCUGGCGGUAGGCCUAACACAUGCAAGUCGAACGGCAGCACAGUAAGAGCUUGCUCUUACGGGUGGCGAGUGGCGGACGGGUGAGGAAUACAUCGGAAUCUACUUUUUCGUGGGGGAUAACGUAGGGAAACUUACGCUAAUACCGCAUACGACCUACGGGUGAAAGCAGGGGAUCUUCGGACCUUGCGCGAUUGAAUGAGCCGAUGUCGGAUUAGCUAGUUGGCGGGGUAAAGGCCCACCAAGGCGACGAUCCGUAGCUGGUCUGAGAGGAUGAUCAGCCACACUGGAACUGAGCCACGGUCCAGACUCCUACGGGAGGCAGCAGUGGGGAAUAUUGGACAAUGGGCGCAAGCCUGAUCCAGCCAUACCGCGUGGGUGAAGAAGGCCUUCGGGUUGUAAAGCCCUUUUGUUGGGAAAGAAAAGCAGCAGGUUAAUACCCCGCUGUUCUGACGGUACCCAAAGAAUAAGCACCGGCUAACUUCGUG
RNAcentral lists this ribosomal RNA (492 nucleotides) under uncultured bacterium. RNAcentral's name for it is "partial 16S ribosomal RNA". It matches the Rfam family "Bacterial small subunit ribosomal RNA", at positions 29 to 507 of the family's 1533-position model. The record is from RNAcentral.